Molecule: long non-coding RNA, 3937 nt
Organism: Gallus gallus (chicken)
Lineage: Eukaryota; Metazoa; Chordata; Aves; Galliformes; Phasianidae
Source: Ensembl
AAAAUAUGCAUAUUGAAAACUAAUAAUCAAACAAUAACAGCAAAAGCAGGUCAUUAAUGACUAACAUUUCUGCCUCUUUUUGAAGAAAAUGAAUACUUAUAGCUAUGCUUCUAGCCGUUAAUCAGGUGUCCUGAACCAGUAAAUGGCUUCCAGUCUUUGAGCUAUAUAAGCCUAUAGCAGACGCUAACUGUUCCCCUUGAAGCUGCCUGAGAACCAAAGGAGAGCUCAUGAAAUCCUUUCUGUGCUAGGAGUCAACCUUUGGGUGGCAUCAUCUCAGAAGUCUUGGGAAGUGAUCAACAAAUCCUCAGAAGCAAUAGUCUUGGCUACAGGGGGAGCAGGCAUGACUUUCAGUUAUAUCUCCUCUAACUGCACCAAACUGUAACACGUUUUUCCUUCUUCAGAAAGUGACUUUACUGACGAGACUUAUAUUUAAUUGUAAAGACUACUCACUGUGGCUCUAUUCUCUUAAGUUAUUGUUCCUCAUAACUUCUAGUCAUCUACAGCAAAAGUAAAUUUUCCAUGCUUUGGGUUCUGCUCCCUCUCUUCCCCCAUAUUACAUCUAUUUUUCCACUAAACAUUUUCAAUUUUUAAUAGAAUUACUACUGCAAUCAGGAAACUCCUGCGUUACUCUCAGUCCCAUUAUUUCACAUGCACAACAGAUCUCUUUCUGCAAUUCCCAUAAGACCCUUCAUGUAAGAUUUGAGCAGCAACAGAUGGCCAGCUACAUCCUCAAUGGGAACUUGCAAUUGACUCAAAAAAUAAGUGUUCUUACACUUCACAUUAUAUUUUUUGCCUCUUACUCCAUCUUUUCUUUACUGUCCUCCUUGUUUCUCUGGCUUGUUUCUUGAAAGUAGGCUUCUCCAGUGAAAUUUGUCAGACAUCCAAAUAAUCAGGUCUUGCCAUUGUUGACCCUCAUUGCAAAUUCUUGGAAGUCAAACACAGAGUCAGAGGAGAUCUCCUGGGAAGUCUCCUUGACCUUUUCUUUUAUUGGCUGAACAUUAGGACUGAAAAGCCACAUCUGGAUUAAGUGGGAAAAAGAAAAGCAUGACCUAUUGGCUGGAAUUUGUAUUCUGUGUAAAAUCUUACAUAAGAAUUGCAUCCACUGGUAUUAAAAAACUUACAAAAAUUGUAAGCUUUCCUUUCACCAAGUUAAAUGGCAUGAAUAGCACUCGACAGACAUAGAGGAAUCAGUGGUAAUUUAUUCUAUCGUGCUUGUGAAGAACGAAGCCUUUAUAGUUGUUCAAAUGUAAUAUAUUCCUUUUGUGAGUAAUCAUUUAUGUCCUACUCCUUUUAAAAUCUGCAUUUUUAUUUCAGUCUCAGUUAAAUGUUACAAGUUUUGUUGAAACUUAUUUACUUGACUUUUUAUUACUAGGGGGGAAAAAAAGUAAUUAAAGGCUUUUUAACUAAAGCAAUCUUAAAAGAUUUUACUGCUUUUUCUUUCCGACACUUUUUUUCCCAUAGAACAAAUAUAGGCAUACAAAAAUUUAAUACUUAAUUUUGUUGUGUUUUUUUUUUUUUUUUUUUUUUUUUUAAUCUGUGGGUAACUGCACUUACCACCAUCUGCCAGAUCCCAUAAUGGAAGUAAUAUAAUGCCAUACUGACUGUGCCAGCAAAGUUAGAAAUAAUUUCAGUUCACUGUUAGCUUUGCUAAUAGUAGGAAGUGCUGCAGAUCUCAUCUGGGAAACCUUUUUGUGCUAUUUCCACACAAAAAGUUUCCAAGAACUGCCAUACUUUUUUACUUCUUAGAAUCAAAUCUCCAAAUAUAUAGCGUGUACCUAAGGGCAGGGCAAAUUCAGCCAGGGUCAAAUCCUGUUCAUAUCUUCAUAUUGGCCUUGCGGAGGCAAGAGAGAGGAGACCUAGAACAAGUGUGAGCUUCAGUGCAUGAGAGAAGAAAAAUUUGGUAGACCUUUUGCUUUUAACACAAGCAGUAUAUGUUUGUUAAUGUGUCUGUGCAAUAACUUGAAAAAGCCAUAUUCUGUUGUAUGUGAGAAUGUAUAGACCAGUAAUCUUGUUAAAAUCUUGAGCCUAGGAAACAAGUUAUUAAAUGCCUUGAAAACAACCAAGCAACUAAAAAACCUACAGCAAAAUUUGUUAAGAGGUGGUUAAGAAAGUAUUUGGGAAAUGUUUCCUUUUUAGAGCUCAUUAAGAAUUAAUAAUUACAUGCUCUAAGCAAUGAAGAGAAUCAGGGUGUGAAUAGCUUCACAUUUCAGACAGAAACAUGGCUGUUAGUGAUGGCUGGUGCUGGAAUGCACUUGUGGCUCGUGGGAUCUCUGAUUGAUUCUAUAGAUUUGUACAGUGUAAUGUACCUUAAGGACAAAAGAAUGCUGCAAAAUGUGUCCAAUAACUUUUCUUGUGAAAUAAGUACUGAAUACUAAUUUUGCUGUAAGAUGUGAAUCCUUCACCUUGGGAAUUUUUAAUGCCAGUCAAAAACUGAAUCUUUUUCACGAUGAGUUGCUGUUGGACAGGUAAUUCUUUUACCACUUUGAAAAAAAAAAAAAAAAAAAAAAAGUCCCUUUCUGGGUCUAGGGAACUUGCAUGUGAUUUGCAGUAGAAAUAAUAAAUAUAUAAAUAAAUAGAGACAAAUUAAUGACAACACACACUGAACACCUCACAGGUUUGAAGCUUCUUUGCAUGUUGACUGUAAGAAAUCUAGCUAAUCCCCUGCACACACAAGAAUACCGAGUUCUCACAUCUUUACAUCUGUAUUUCUGUUUAAAAAAGAAAAACAAAACAAAACCAACCAACAAACAAACAAACCAAAAACCAGAAAGUGGCCCAGGAAGGAUUUUGAAAUCACUAUUCUCUAUUUGGAAAUGCCGUGUAAUUCAGUUACUGACAAAGGAAUCUAAGCUGUGUCAUAAUAUAUAUACAGAGAAGCAACGUAUAUCCAUUCCAGGAAGAUUUAUAUUCAUUCCCGCUGUGGCAAAGUGGCUGUGCUGGAAAAUUAUACAAAAAAUGAACAUUAAUGUAUGUGAUCCACAUCUGUUAUCACACACCACUUCUGGAGCCCAUGGGCACACUGUGACCUCUCAGCGAUAAAUCAGCGCCAUGCCUGUCCUCAGCUGUGGUUAGUUAACGGGACUGUGUAACUGCACUGUGGGCUGCAAGGGGGUGGUGGAGCCGUACCUCUGGGACUGGGCAGUGAUGUGGAAGGGCUGAAAUGCAAGACAAAGAGGGUAAUGACGUGCUUGUUGUUGAUAUAGUAAAAAGUUUCAGAUAUACUGAUGUAAUUAUAGUUAAAUACCUAAUGUGAGUGGGAAGCCAUUUAAAUUCCCUAAGCCAGAUGGUCUAAUUCAUCUCUCAUUUAAAGCGCUUUGAUUUGAAAAUUUUGAAGGGGUCUAAUGCUCCAUUUUAUAGAAAGGUGGGAGGGCAAUGCAUUUCACACUCCGGACUUUACAGUCUAACUCUAUGAAGUAGGGACUAAACCACAAGGACAAUGCCAGCAUCUUGCUGUUUUAGCAGUAAGCUGGGCAAACUUUUAUUUGUGCAUUAGUGCUUAGUGCUUUAGAUAAGCAGCAGAUGAAAAUCAGUAGGAAAGACAAAUAGCUUUGCUAUUUGCUAAGGAGGACAGAUGAGUAGCUGUCCUCUUUCUAUAAUGUAUAGAUUUGGAAUUUUUUUUUUCUCCCAGUAAUCUAAAACUGGUAUGGGUGCUACAGUGGUCCUGACCAGUUUGGUUUUCUCUUUUUAAAACAAGUGAAGUAGAAAGCCUCAGUAAGCCAAACGAUGCAUAGCUGAACUUUAGUGACUGGUUAACUGACCUUCUCCAGUGACUAGGGGAGGUCUGGAAUGGGUCAUGUCUGAACACCCACCAAAUCUUUCCCCACUGGGGUGCUAAAAGCCUCUCACUUAGCAUUGACCAGCCUUUUCUCUGAUCAUUUUGUAGUGAGUAAAGUUUAAAGUCCAUGGAGAUAAAGGCUUUAGUCUAGAGGCUAAGGCU